Molecule: non-coding RNA, 3478 nt
Organism: Phalacrocorax carbo (great cormorant)
Lineage: Eukaryota; Metazoa; Chordata; Aves; Suliformes; Phalacrocoracidae
Source: RefSeq, a predicted model, not a curated record
CCACCUGCCUGUGCCAGUGCUUUUUUCACACGGGAAGUGCAACUGGAAGACUGCAAAGCCAGAACCCUCCAGUUCAGGGAAUUUCUCUCUUAAUAUGCCAUCCCUAGGUGCAAAGCUGUGCAGUUUCUUUUAUGAAUGACUAACACAUUGUGUAUUUCUAUUUUUAUCCCUUGUUUCAGCUGACAGAUUAUAAGUGUGUUGCUACAGCUUUACGUACAACACAAGAAAACUGAGUUUUUGAGAAGGCUAAUCGGGAGGCUCAGCAAAGAAAACACUGACAGCAGAGAAGAGCUAAUGUGAAGAGAAGAAGGAGGCUUAGAUCACUGCGUAGAGAGACUGCAUCAACUGGGAAAUUAUUUCAGAACAUCUGAUAUAAUCAGAGAGCUCCCAUCAGGCUUUCGGACAUCAAGCCAAGCCAUGGGAUCAUUGCCAGCGGUUAAAUUGACAGUGUAAAAUGGAAAAAGAGACGAAGAAAGGGUGGAACACCCAUAAUAAAAACACUACAGUGGACAGAUAAUACAGAAAUUUUAUUGUAGCUAACAAUGAACAGGAACCAGCAUCUGCACUGAAGCAGAAAAAGCAGUGAGCGAACACAAGACCAGUGACUGUGACUGCAGACUUGCUGAACUCAUUAAAAGCCAUGACAAGAAAGGUAUAGCCACCUUAUGCAAGAUUUAUGAUGCUGCCUGCAGGAGAAGGUUUGAAGCAAACACUGCCAAAGGAAGCAAGCGAGAAUUAAAAUGAUAUUACUUAAAACGUGUGUAAACAAAGUACAUUGGCAAAGAAAAAAGCCAUGGGAAUACCAAAGGAAGUAUCCCAGACAUUGGGUCAGAAAACACUGUAUCAGCACUUUGCCCUUCACCAGGAAUCACGAGGAAAGGACAUUGACAAACAACUGCAUGCCUGUUCAAGUAAAUCAAGCUUUCUGCUUGUGUACGUUACAGAAAGCUGCAGCGAAGAGGCUUUUGUGUAUUUUUCACUCUGCUGUGCUGUCUCUACUUUAGGUGGGAAACCAAAAUUCAGAGCAGAAAGGUAGAAUAAAAACUUGAAGCACUCGUGCCAAAGUAACAGAUCGGAAGGUCUGAGAAGCAGGGUUCAGCAAAAUACAUGUGCUGGAGCAGACAGACAACUGAACCAUUUUUUAAAUCCCCUUUUUUUUCCCAAACCUUAUUUAUGUAUUAGCCAGAGAGAAGAUAUAAGGUGAAAUACACAUGUUAUUUUUUUCUUUUAAUAUAUGCUCUGAUCAAAACCUGAGAUGAAAUUUCUGUGCUGUAAUUGGCACUACCCAAAGUGCUUUUCCUUUUUGAAGUCAGUGACUAGUUGAAAUAUCACUCUUCUCUAUGGCCUACAGUCACUCUCUGAAACAGCAAGCUAUGUGGGUUAUUUUCAAAGCCCGUGUUACUUUUGGCUGUUGCAGAAAUUUUUCACCCUUGGGUUUUCAGAUUGAACUGGACAUUUUCAACUGACAUGACAAACUUUAGGCAGGGUGUUUUGAAUCCCCACCUCCCCCAGCCCUCAUGCUGUCUGAAGAAUUACCAUGACCAGAAAAGGCUGAUUUCCUUUCACAAGCUGCAGGCGUGACAAGCCAGCACUGAUUGCAAGGAACAGGAACAAACUCCUGCUCGCAGGCUAGUUCCUGAUGGACGGCAGAAAAGGACUUUCUGCGAAGGCCUCCUAUUAAACUAGAGUAAAAAAAAGCUGUGCUAGUAACACAAAUAAAUUUGUACUGCACCCACAAGAGAAACAAAACAGUUUUUGCACGUCUCUUGACAAUAUUUUGGUAAGUGCCUUGCCCCCAAACACCACUGCUCUUCUGUCCUCUUAUGUCCCCUUUUAGCAGUUCUCUGCAGCGUGUUGGUGGUACCCCCCUGCUCUCUUUUGUUAACUCCCUCUGUGAAUGACAACUUGUUUUAGUGGGGUGUGACCAGCCGGUCAUCUGGCAAGCACUUACAAAGACUCCAAUCCAAAAAGCCAGUCUGUUCCUAGCUCCAAAUCUGCAAGGCUUUAAUGAGGUCUUGUGGAGAAGCAGCAGAUAUCAGAGAUUCAUUAACGAUGAGGACAUCCUUGCAUAGCUACUAAUUGCUCUAACUCACUAGCUUGUGUUGUUUGUGAAAACUGGAGCCUGGUAAGCAAUGCUCUCAAUUUAAAUUGUUGUAGUGCUUUGUGCUUGCUCUGGAACUUUCCCCCUCUGCCCAUGAAUCAAAGCACAAUUCAGAUUUAUUUCCUUUUAUAUCAUGACAGAAGAGACUUACUCUGCUGGGGUCUGUGCAUACCCUCGUCUAGAUAAAUAUUCAACUACUGGAAGCUAUGCUAUUGCAAACUUUCUGAGAAAUAAUUAUAAAGGCAUCAUCAAUAGUAUGUUCCCAUGUAGUAUUUAACUACUGAACUACACCAUUUCUCAACAUCGACGUGGCAAAUAUUUUGCUGCUGCAGGUCUGAUUAAAAUUACAGUAAAAGCCUAGCCUUUUAUGAAGAGAUGUGACAAAUCACUACUUGAUGAAAACGUAUUUCCCCAGUGAAGUCAGAAAGCCUCUGGCAUAUAUUGGUUUUAGAUCUUAUUUAAAAAAACACCUUUUUUAUUCAUCUGCUCAUGCUUUUUAUGCAUGCAAUAACUGGCAGUUUACCCAAACGUUCCUUAGUUCUACCUUGCAAACUCAUUAAAAUAUGACACUUGUUAUUCAUAAUCUAUGUAUCAAAGUUCAUGUCUGAGGGUGUUUAAAUGAAGGACUAGAUAUUUCAGAGCUGUUAGUACCACUCAUUUUGCUCAGAAGUAUAUGGUAGAAUCAAGCCAGUAGGUUUUGUCUCAAGUGUUCAAAAACUAUCUCUCAAGCUGCAUUUCUACAGACAGAUAACAACCUGAGAAAUGGAAGCUUAAGUAAUUCCAUUAGAAGCUUUUGAGGGCAAUAUCAACAGAGAAUUUUGUAAAUUAAACACAGCAAGAAAUUUUAGAUCUCAGAGGGGCAUUUUCAGAACACGCAAACAGCAAGAGAUGCCCACCUGCAUCUAUCUGCCAGCUAACCACGGGUGACACUGGACCUGUGAAAAUUUACCUCCAGCCCUGUCUUCUCGCCUGACGUGCUCACUUGGGCAGCAGACGGGACAUGCACCUGACAGGCAUGCUCUUUCUAAUUGCAGUCAAGAGCAGACUUGAAGAAGCAGCAGAUUCCUGGCAAAGAUGAUGUGAAGGAGAAGGGCUCUGCUCCAGAGCAUGGAUUUUCCUUGAAGUGUCCCACAGGGUUGUCUGUGGUCUCUGCUCUGAAGCUGAAGGUGCUUUUGGAAUAGCAGCUAUGCAGAUGCCCUGCUCUGAUCCUGAGGGUCUGCACUGGUUUAACUCUCUUUCUAGAGAAAUAGCUCAAAGCUCGUCUUGGUUGAAUGACUGUGUAAUGUCCUUGUGGGAGUGAUCAUGGUUAGUAGCUUUGCACUACAGAAGGGUCAAACUUUGACCAAAAGGAUAAAAUUUACCUGAUUAAAAACUAGU